UUGUAGCCUGCUAUGGUAUAACUUAGUGGCAGACGGGUGAGUAAUAUAUAGGAAUCUACCUAGUAGUACGGAAUAAUUGUUGGAAACGGCAACUAAUACCGUAUACGCCCUACGGGGGAAAAAUUUAUUGCUAUUAGAUGAGCCUAUAUUAGAUUAGCUAGUUGGUGGAGUAAUAGCCUACCAAGGCAAUGAUCUAUAGCUGAUCUGAGAGGAUGAUCAGCCACACUGGAACUGAGAUACGGUCUAGACUCCUACGGGAGGCAGCAGUGGGGAAUAUUGGACAAUGGGCGAAAGCCUGAUCCAGCCAUGCCGCAUGAGUGAAGAAGGCCUUUGGGUUGUAAAGCUCUUUUAGUGAGGAAGAUAAUGACGGUACUCACAGAAGAAGUCCUGGCUAACUCCGUGCCAGCAGCCGCGGUAAUACGGAGAGGGCUAGCGUUAUUCGGAAUUAUUGGGCGUAGAGGGCGCGUAGGCUGGUUAGUAAGUUAAAAGUGAAAUCCCGAGGCUUAACCUUGGAACUGCUUUUAAAACUGCUAACCUAGAGAUUGAAAGAGGAUAGAGGAAUUCCUAGUGUAGAGGUGAAAUUCGUAAAUAUUAGGAGGAACACCAGUGGCGAAGGCGUCUAUCUGGUUCAAAUCUGACGCUGAGGCGCGAAGGCGUGGGGAGCAAACAGGAUUAGAUACCCUGGUAGUCCACGCUGUAAACGAUGAAUGUUAAAUAUGGGAAGUUUACUUUCUGUAUUACAGCUAACGCGUUAAACAUUCCGCCUGGGGACUACGGUCGCAAGAUUAAAACUCAAAGGAAUUGACGGGGACCCGCACAAGCGGUGGAGCAUGUGGUUUAAUUCGAUGCAACGCGAAAAACCUUACCACUCCUUGACAUGAAAAUCAUACCUAUUC
This 896-nucleotide ribosomal RNA is filed under the name Wolbachia endosymbiont of Formica cinerea. Its description in RNAcentral is "bacterial SSU rRNA". It matches the Rfam family "Bacterial small subunit ribosomal RNA", at positions 73 to 1002 of the family's 1533-position model. The record is from RNAcentral. Lineage: Bacteria; Pseudomonadati; Pseudomonadota; Alphaproteobacteria; Rickettsiales; Anaplasmataceae.